AUGAAGAACGUAGCGAAAUGCGAUAAGUAAUGUGAAUUGCAGAAUUCAGUGAAUCAUCGAAUCUUUGAACGCACAUUGCGCCCCUUGGUAUUCCGAGGGGCAUGCCUGUCCGAGCGUCAUUGCUGCCCUCAAGCACGGCUUGUGUGUUGGGCCUCCGUCCUCCUCCCGGGGGACGGGCCCGAAAGGCAGCGGCGGCACCGCGUCCGGUCCUCGAGCGUAUGGGGCUUCGUCACCCGCUCUUGUAGGCCCGGCCGGCGCUUGCCGACACAUCAAUCUUUUUUCCAGGUUGACCUCGGAUCAGGUAGGGAUACCCGCUGAACUUAAGCAUAUCAAUAAGCGGAGGA
RNAcentral lists this unclassified non-coding RNA (344 nucleotides) under soil metagenome. RNAcentral describes it as "partial contains 5.8S ribosomal RNA, internal transcribed spacer 2, and large subunit ribosomal RNA". The stretch from base 1 to 119 matches the Rfam family "5.8S ribosomal RNA", at positions 36 to 154 of the family's 154-position model. The record is from RNAcentral.